This 408-nucleotide ribosomal RNA is filed under the name uncultured bacterium. RNAcentral describes it as "partial 16S ribosomal RNA". It matches the Rfam family "Bacterial small subunit ribosomal RNA", at positions 28 to 526 of the family's 1533-position model. The record is from RNAcentral.
GACGAACGCUGGCGGCGUGCUUAACACAUGCAAGUCGAACGGAGUGGCGCACGGGUGAGUAACACGUGGGUGAUCUGCCCUGCACUUCGGGAUAAGCUUGGGAAACUGGGUCUAAUACCGGAUAGUGCAAGAUGGGCGCGGGGCCUAUCAGCUUGUUGGUGGGGUAAUGGCCUACCAAGGCGCCGACUGGUAGCCGGCCUGGGAGGGUGUACGGCCACAAUGGGACUGAGGUACGGACCAGACUCCUACGGGAGGCAGCAGUGGGGAAUAUUGCACAAUGGGCGGAAGCCUGAUGAAGCGACGCUGCGUGGGUGAUGAAGGCCUUCGGGUUGUAAACUCCUUUCGACAGGGACGCGGUACCUGUAUAAGAAGCACCGGCUAACUACGUGCCAGCAGCCGCGGUAAUAC